AUGACCAGUGACUUUCCUUCCGUUACUGCAGAGUCCUUCCUUCAAGAGCUUAAAAGCUCACUGUUUGAGGAAAUACAUGAGGAUGAAACGGUACUUCAAGCCUCAACAGACUGGUCGACCCGAAAGAGCCUCAUAUCAGGGUGGUGGGAGAAAGAGAGACCCCGACUGGUCAACACCAUGGUGGCUGGACAACAUGCGGCAACUCGGAUCUGCCAACAUUGUGGAAAUGGUCCAGCCGUAAUCCGUUGUUGUGACUGCCGACCACACCCAUUCCUCUGUGGCCAGUGUGAUGUCAGGGUCCACCGAGGUCAAGUGUUCCACAACAGGGAUUCGAUGACACAUGCAUUCUUUCAUCCAUUGCCUCCCACAACUUGUGUUGUGGAGAGGGUUCUAACCCAGUGUGGUAAGUUGUAGUUUUUAAAAGUCACAUUCUUAGACUUGACUGAAAAACUGAUAGGUCGAUGAAGCAGUCAAGUACAUCUU
Long non-coding RNA from Cyprinus carpio carpio, 483 nucleotides. Lineage: Eukaryota; Metazoa; Chordata; Actinopteri; Cypriniformes; Cyprinidae. The record is from Ensembl.